AUGAACGCUGGCGGCGUGCCUAAUACAUGCAAGUCGCGCGAACAGACGAGGAGCUUGCUCCCCUGACGUUAGCGGCGGACGGGUGAGUAACACGUGGAUAACCUACCUAUAAGACUGGGAUAACUUCGGGAAACCGGAGCUAAUACCGGAUAAUAUAUUGAACCGCAUGGUUCAAUAGUGAAAGACGGUUUUGCUGUCACCUAUAGAUGGAUCCGCGCCGCAUUAGCUAGUUGGUAAGGUAACGGCUUACCAAGGCAACGAUGCGUAGCCGACCUGAGAGGGUGAUCGGCCACACUGGAACUGAGACACGGUCCAGACUCCUACGGGAGGCAGCAGUAGGGAAUCUUCCGCAAUGGGCGAAAGCCUGACGGAGCAACGCCGCGUGAGUGAUGAAGGUCUUCGGAUCGUAAAACUCUGUUAUUAGGGAAGAACAAAUGUGUAAGUAACUAUGCACGUCUUGACGGUACCUAAUCAGAAAGCCACGGCUAACUACGUG
Molecule: ribosomal RNA, 496 nt
Filed under: uncultured bacterium
Lineage: Bacteria
Description: partial 16S ribosomal RNA
Rfam family: Bacterial small subunit ribosomal RNA
Source: RNAcentral